This is a long non-coding RNA of Rhinichthys klamathensis goyatoka, 611 nucleotides long. RefSeq lists it as uncharacterized. The record is from RefSeq and is a predicted model, not a curated record. The transcript is spliced from 4 exons. NCBI's taxonomy places the organism in Eukaryota, Metazoa, Chordata, Actinopteri, Cypriniformes, Leuciscidae.
CCAUCAGAACAACCCCAGAUGUGUUUGUCUGACAGACGAGAGGUCCACCGUUCCAAUGAGUCUGUGAAAAGGUCAUAGACACAGUGUGCAUCAGUAAGGAUCCAUUGUGACUGGAUGAUCGCCCCGCUGCAGUCGUGGCCUGCACCCAGACCAAUGCUCACGUGCCACAGCCAUGGCAGUUUCCCAUCAUCCUCUUCUCUCCUCAGGGCGUCCAUUCCAGAGCCAGCAAAGAUAUCAGUCAUUCCACACGGAGCUGAGAAGUCAGUGGAACGCAAGCAUGAAUACUUGAUCUGGAUUCCACACAUUCUAAAGGCCCUCUGAGACAAAGAGCCUAUUUUAAAGUGGAGAACACAAAGAACAAACCAGCCUGCAAAUGUGGCGAGAUAACUCUGCUGUCAUAAUCGGCUUCCUCCCCCUGAUCUUGAUAUGCUGUCUUUUGGAGAUCUGUGAGGAAAUUGAAACUGAUCAGAGCCUCCAAUCUAAAUGCAUGCAUGCAUUCAUGACCGGACAGAGAGGUCAUGACUGGACAGAGGGGACACCAGGCGCUGACUGGGCCAACAACAGGGCUACAGGGUUGUUUUUACCUUGACUAUGUGGCCUUCUGGGGCAUA